RNAcentral lists this ribosomal RNA (935 nucleotides) under 'Zea mays' aster yellows phytoplasma. RNAcentral's name for it is "bacterial SSU rRNA". It matches the Rfam family "Bacterial small subunit ribosomal RNA", at positions 181 to 1139 of the family's 1533-position model. The record is from RNAcentral. Lineage: Bacteria; Bacillati; Mycoplasmatota; Mollicutes; Acholeplasmatales; Acholeplasmataceae.
GAAGAAGGCAUCUUCUUGUUUUUAAAGACCUAGCAAUAGGUAUGCUUAGGGAGGAGCUUGCGUCACAUUAGUUAGUUGGUGGGGUAAAGGCCUACCAAGACUAUGAUGUGUAGCCGGGCUGAGAGGUUGAACGGCCACAUUGGGACUGAGACACGGCCCAAACUCCUACGGGAGGCAGCAGUAGGGAAUUUUCGGCAAUGGAGGAAACUCUGACCGAGCAACGCCGCGUGAACGAUGAAGUAUUUCGGUACGUAAAGUUCUUUUAUUAGGGAAGAAUAAAUGAUGGAAAAAUCAUUCUGACGGUACCUAAUGAAUAAGCCCCGGCUAACUAUGUGCCAGCAGCCGCGGUAAUACAUAGGGGGCAAGCGUUAUCCGGAAUUAUUGGGCGUAAAGGGUGCGUAGGCGGUUAAAUAAGUUUAUGGUCUAAGUGCAAUGCUCAACAUUGUGAUGCUAUAAAAACUGUUUAGCUAGAGUAAGAUAGAGGCAAGUGGAAUUCCAUGUGUAGUGGUAAAAUGCGUAAAUAUAUGGAGGAACACCAGUAGCGAAGGCGGCUUGCUGGGUCUUUACUGACGCUGAGGCACGAAAGCGUGGGGAGCAAACAGGAUUAGAUACCCUGGUAGUCCACGCCGUAAACGAUGAGUACUAAACGUUGGGUAAAACCAGUGUUGAAGUUAACACAUUAAGUACUCCGCCUGAGUAGUACGUACGCAAGUAUGAAACUUAAAGGAAUUGACGGGACUCCGCACAAGCGGUGGAUCAUGUUGUUUAAUUCGAAGGUACCCGAAAAACCUCACCAGGUCUUGACAUGCUUCUGCAAGCUGUAGAAACACAGUGAGUAUCAGUUGCACAGGUGGUGCAUGCUGUCGUCAGCUCGUGUCGUGAGAUGUGGUAAGUCCGCACGAGCCAACCUAUGUAGUACAGCACGUAUGGUGGGA